AGUGAACGUUGGCGGCGUGGAUUAGGCAUGCAAGUCGAGCGAGAACCGUAGCAAUACGGGGACAGCGGCGAAAGGGACAGUAAUGUGUAGGUACCUACCCCGGGGUCUGGGAUAGCUGCGGGAAACUGCAGGUAAUACCGGAUAAUGUCUUCGGACCAAAGGUGUGAUUCCACCUUGGGAGGGGCCUGCAUCCUAUUAGCUUGUUGGCGGGGUAACGGCCCACCAAGGCAACGAUGGGUAGCGGGUGUGAGAGCACGACCCGCGUCAUUGGGACUGAGAUCCUGCCCAGGCACCUACGGGUGGCUGCAGUCGAGGAGCUUCGGCAAUGGGCGAAAGCCUGACCGAGCGACGCCGCGUGCGGGAUGAAGGCCUUCGGGUUGUAAACCGCUGUCGUAGAGGAGGAAAUGCAGGGGGGUUCUCCCUUCUGUUUGACCUAUUCUAGGAGGAAGGACGGGCUAAGUUCGUGCCAGCAGCCGCAGUAA
RNAcentral lists this ribosomal RNA (482 nucleotides) under uncultured bacterium. RNAcentral's name for it is "partial 16S ribosomal RNA". It matches the Rfam family "Bacterial small subunit ribosomal RNA", at positions 28 to 523 of the family's 1533-position model. The record is from RNAcentral.